GAUGAACGCUGGCGGCGUGCCUAAUACAUGCAAGUCGAGCGAACAGACGAGGAGCUUGCUCCUCUGACGUUAGCGGCGGACGGGUGAGUAACACGUGGAUAACCUACCUAUAAGACUGGGAUAACUUCGGGAAACCGGAGCUAAUACCGGAUAAUAUAUUGAACCGCAUGGUUCAAUAGUGAAAGACGGUUUUGCUGUCACUUAUAGAUGGAUCCGCGCCGCAUUAGCUAGUUGGUAAGGUAACGCCUUACCAAGGCAACGAUGCGUAGCCGACCUGAGAGAGUGAUAGGCCACACUGGAACUGAGACACGGUCCAGACUCCUGCGGGAGGCCGCAGUAGGGAAUCUUGCGAGAUGAGCGAAAGCCUGACGGAGCCACGCCGCGUGAGUGAUGAAGGUCUUCAGAUCGUAAAACUCUGUUAUUAGGGAAGAACAAAUGUGUAAGUAACUAUGCACGUCUUGACGGUACCUAAUCAGAAAGCCACGGCUAACUACGUG
This 497-nucleotide ribosomal RNA is filed under the name uncultured bacterium. RNAcentral's name for it is "partial 16S ribosomal RNA". It matches the Rfam family "Bacterial small subunit ribosomal RNA", at positions 28 to 507 of the family's 1533-position model. The record is from RNAcentral.